This 500-nucleotide ribosomal RNA is filed under the name uncultured bacterium. RNAcentral's name for it is "partial 16S ribosomal RNA". It matches the Rfam family "Bacterial small subunit ribosomal RNA", at positions 30 to 523 of the family's 1533-position model. The record is from RNAcentral.
AUUGAACGCUGGCGGCAUGCUUUACACAUGCAAGUCGAACGGUAACAGGGAGCUUGCUCCGCUGACGAGUGGCGAACGGGUGAGUAAUAUAUCGGAACGUACCCAAGAGUGGGGGAUAACGUAGCGAAAGUUACGCUAAUACCGCAUACGAUCUAUGGAUGAAAGUGGGGGAUCGCAAGACCUCAUGCUCCUGGAGCGGCCGAUAUCUGAUUAGCUAGUUGGUGAGGUAAAGGCUCACCAAGGCGACGAUCAGUAGCUGGUCUGAGAGGACGACCAGCCACACUGGAACUGAGACACGGUCCAGACUCCUACGGGAGGCAGCAGUGGGGAAUUUUGGACAAUGGGCGCAAGCCUGAUCCAGCAAUGCCGCGUGAGUGAAGAAGGCCUUCGGGUUGUAAAGCUCUUUUGUCAGGGAAGGAACGGGAGUGGCUAAUAUCCAUUCCUAAUGACGGUACCUGAAGAAUAAGCACCGGCUAACUACGUGCCAGCAGCCGCCGUAA